AAUAUUGGACAAUGGGGGCAACCCUGAUCCAGCCAUGCCGCGCGUGUGAAGAAUGUCUUCGGUUUUUAAAGCACUUUACGUUGGGAGGAAGGGCUUUAGGUUAAUACACUGAAGUUUUGACGUUACUAACAGAAUAAGCACCGGCUAACUCUGUGCUAGCAGCCGCGGUAAUACAGAGGGUGCAAGCGUUAAUCGGAAUUACUGGGCGUAAAGCGGGCGUAGGUGGUUCAGUAAGAUGGGUGUGAAAUCCCCGGGCUUAACCUGGGAACUGCUUUCAUAACUGCUGAGCUAGAGUACGGUAGAGGGUAGUGGAAUUUCCUGUGUAGCGGUGAAAUGCGUAGAUAUAGGAAGGAACACCAGUGGCGAAGGCGACUACCUGGACUGAUACUGACACUGAGGUGCGAAAGCGUGGGGAGCAAACAG
This 423-nucleotide ribosomal RNA is filed under the name uncultured bacterium. Its description in RNAcentral is "partial 16S ribosomal RNA". It matches the Rfam family "Bacterial small subunit ribosomal RNA", at positions 360 to 775 of the family's 1533-position model. The record is from RNAcentral.